Molecule: ribosomal RNA, 322 nt
Filed under: uncultured eukaryote
Lineage: Eukaryota
Description: partial 18S ribosomal RNA
Rfam family: Eukaryotic small subunit ribosomal RNA
Source: RNAcentral
CCCUUAGAUGUUCUGGGCCGCACGCGUGCUACACUGAGUGGAUCAGCGGGUCAGGUUGCGCGAAAGCGUUUCCUAAUCUUUAAAUCCGCUCGUGAUGGGGAUUGACGGUUGCAAUUUUCUGUCAUGAACGAGGAAUACCUUGUAAGCGCGGGUCAUCAUCCCGCGCUGAAUACGUCCCUGCCCUUUGUACACACCGCCCGUCGCUCCUACCGAUUGAGUGGUCCGGUGAGGCUUUGGGAUCUGAGCGGAAAGAGCGUUUCGCUGUUUCUGCUCGGAAAACUCAGUCGAACCUUAUCAUUUAGGGGAAGGAGAAGUCGUAACA